AGGGAAGGCCAGCAGGUCUUGUCAUUGUAGGCGCUCUCUCCCCCAGGAGAAAGGAGAAGGGGUGGGUCCCAGCACCUCCAGGUUCUUGAUCCUGGUGGGAAGACUUUUUUUGUGACUCUCAGGGGGUUCUUUGGUGGUGGCUGCUAUGGGGUGGGGUGGUGGGAAGCACAGGGAGGGGGGUCAUGAUGCCAGGCUGGCCCUGUCUGUACCUGCCUUGCAGGGCAACUUUGGGAAGUCACCAUUCUGCCAUGGGCCUCUGCUCCCCACUAACCCCGUAGACCUCUUCUGUGGGAGUGGGGUGAGAUGGGGCUGGUGGUGGCCCCAAGCAGUCAGGGCGCCCAUCCCAGAGGCAAGGGAAGUUCACAAGUGCAGGGGCUGCAUGGCCUGAGGGUCAGGGAGAAGAAGCCAUCCAUCCCAUUGUCUCUGUUAGUGUGAGGGUAGUUGCUGCCUCCUUUGUGAACUUGGAUCACCGUGAUUGUGAAUAAAGGUGAUUUCGUACCAGCC
Molecule: long non-coding RNA, 504 nt
Filed under: Bos taurus (domestic cattle)
Lineage: Eukaryota; Metazoa; Chordata; Mammalia; Artiodactyla; Bovidae
Description: long non-coding RNA NONBTAT016152
Source: RNAcentral